AGUGAACGCUGGCGGUAGGCCUAACACAUGCAAGUCGAACGGCAGCACAGUAAGAGCUUGCUCUUACGGGUGGCGAGUGGCGGACGGGUGAGGAAUACAUCGGAAUCUACUUUUUCGUGGGGGAUAACGUAGGGAAACUUACGCUAAUACCGCAUACGACCUACGGGUGAAAGCAGGGGAUCUUCGGACCUUGCGCGAUUGAAUGAGCCGAUGUCGGAUUAGCUAGUUGGCGGGGGAAAGGCCCACCAAGGCGACGAUCCGUAGCUGGUCUGAGAGGAUGAUCAGCCGCACUGGAACUGGGACACGGUCCAGACUCCUACGGGAGGCAGCAGAGGGGAAUAUUGGGCAAUAGGCGCAAGCCUGAUCCAGCCAUACCGCGUGGGUGAAGAAGGCCUUCGGGUUGUAAAGCCCUUUUGUUGGGAAAGAAAAGCAGCAGGUUAAUACCCCGCUGUUCUGACGGUACCCAAAGAAUAAGCACCGGCUAACUUCGUG
This 492-nucleotide ribosomal RNA is filed under the name uncultured bacterium. RNAcentral describes it as "partial 16S ribosomal RNA". It matches the Rfam family "Bacterial small subunit ribosomal RNA", at positions 29 to 507 of the family's 1533-position model. The record is from RNAcentral.